RNAcentral lists this ribosomal RNA (218 nucleotides) under Lopidium concinnum. RNAcentral's name for it is "5.8S ribosomal RNA". The stretch from base 5 to 157 matches the Rfam family "5.8S ribosomal RNA". Rfam says of the family: 5.8S ribosomal RNA (5.8S rRNA) is a component of the large subunit of the eukaryotic ribosome. It is transcribed by RNA polymerase I as part of the 45S precursor that also contains 18S and 28S rRNA. The record is from RNAcentral. Lineage: Eukaryota; Viridiplantae; Streptophyta; Bryopsida; Hookeriales; Hypopterygiaceae.
AAACAACUCUCAGCAACGGAUAUCUUGGCUCUUGCAACGAUGAAGAACGCAGCGAAAUGCGAUACGUAGUGUGAAUUGCAGAAUUCCGCGAAUCAUCGAGUCUUUGAACGCAAGUUGCGCCCGAGGCUUGUCCGAGGGCAUUUCCGCUAGAGCGUCACCGCGCCCCCCCCCCCACCACCAACCCCACUCCCGCGUGGAGUCGGGGUCGAGUGAAAGUG